AACGAACGCUGGCGGCAUGCCUAACACAUGCAAGUCGAACGAGACCUUCGGGUCUAGUGGCGCACGGGUGCGUAACGCGUGGGAACCUGCCCUUAGGUUCGGAAUAACUCCCCGAAAGGGGUUCUAAUACCGGAUAAUGUCUUCGGACCAAAGAUUUAUCGCCUUUGGAUGGGCCCGCGUUGGAUUAGCUAGUUGGUAGGGUAAAAGCCUACCAAGGCGACGAUCCAUAGCUGGUCUGAGAGGAUGAUCAGCCACACUGGGACUGAGACACGGCCCAGAAUCCUACGGGAGGCAGCAGUGGGGAAUAGUGGACAAUGGGCGAAAGCCUGAUCCAGCAAUGCCGCGUGAGUGAUGAAGGCCUUAGGGUUGUAAAGCUCUUUUACCCGGGAUGAUAAUGACAGUACCGGGAGAAUAAGCUCCGGCUAACUCCGUG
Molecule: ribosomal RNA, 433 nt
Filed under: uncultured bacterium
Lineage: Bacteria
Description: partial 16S ribosomal RNA
Rfam family: Bacterial small subunit ribosomal RNA
Source: RNAcentral